This 186-nucleotide ribosomal RNA is filed under the name uncultured Lactococcus sp. RNAcentral's name for it is "partial 16S ribosomal RNA". It matches the Rfam family "Bacterial small subunit ribosomal RNA", at positions 355 to 532 of the family's 1533-position model. The record is from RNAcentral. Lineage: Bacteria; Bacillati; Bacillota; Bacilli; Lactobacillales; Streptococcaceae.
UAGGGAAUCUUCGGCAAUGGACGAAAGUCUGACCGAGCAACGCCGCGUGAGUGAAGAAGGUUUUCGGAUCGUAAAACUCUGUUGGUAGAGAAGAACGUUGGUGAGAGUGGAAAGCUCAUCAAGUGACGGUAACUACCCAGAAAGGGACGGCUAACUACGUGCCAGCAGCCGCGGUAAUACGUAGGU